UACGUAGGCAGCGAGCGUUGUUCGGAAUUACUGGGCGUAAAGAGUGUGUAGGCGGUGCUCUAAGUUCGGUGUGAAAUCUCCCGGCUUAACUGGGAGGGUGCGCCGGAAACUGGAGUGCUCGAGCGUGGGAGGGGAAAGCGGAAUUCCUGGUGUAGCGGUGAAAUGCGUAGAUAUCAGGAGGAACACCUGCGGUGUAGACGGCUUUCUGGACCAUUGCUGACGCUGAGACACGAAAGCGUGGGUAGCAAACAGG
This 253-nucleotide ribosomal RNA is filed under the name uncultured bacterium. RNAcentral's name for it is "partial 16S ribosomal RNA". It matches the Rfam family "Bacterial small subunit ribosomal RNA", at positions 524 to 776 of the family's 1533-position model. The record is from RNAcentral.